AUGAAAGAAGUAGAUAAUCUCGAAAGUAUAAAAGAAGAAUGGGUUUGUGAAACAGGAUCUGACAACCAACCUCUUAAUGAUGAUCAACAAAGAAAUUGUGAAUAUUUUGUUGACAGCCUUUUUGAGGAAGCUGAGAAGGUUGGUGCCAAAUGCAUGUCUCCCACUGAACAGAAAAAACAGGGAAUUACCUUUGGAAUUACAGGGAAUUUUUGAUAAAGAGGAGGUGGAUGUUAAAGUUGAAGACAAAAAAAAUGAAGUAUGUAUGUCAACGAAGCCUGUGUUCCAGCCCUUCUCAGGACAGGGUCACAGUCUAGGAAGUGCCACACCAAAAAUUGUUUCUAAGGCAAAGAGUACUGAAGUUGAGAAUAAAAAUAAUUUGUCUGUUCAACUAAACAAUCUGGAACCCAUCACUAAUGUACAGAUCUGGUUAGCCAAUGGAAAAAGGAUUGUCCAGAAAUUUAAUAUUUCUCAUAGGAUAAGCCACAUCAAAGACUUCAUCGAAAAAUACCAAGGAUCUCAAAGAAGUCCUCCCUUUUCCCUGGCCACAGCUCUUCCUUUCCUCAAAUUGCUAGAUGAAACACUCACAUUGGAAGAAGCAGAUUUACAGAAUGCUGUAGUAAUUCAGAGACUCCAAAAAACCGCUGAACCUUUUAGAGAACUUUCAUAACAUUGAUUUUUGAUACACUAAGUGGAAAGUUUGAAGAGAAAUGAUGGUUGUAAAUGAACAUGCAAACCAAAAUGAGGGAAAGGAAGUCAGAUUCGCCGGACUUUUAGUUCGGGCAUGAUUUAACUCCCUCCUGAUGAGAAGAUUUUUAAAUAAGUACAAGUUAGGAAAGUGAACUAUGACUGGAAACUAUAUUCAAUGCACUUUUUCCAAAAGACUACUCAGAAAGAAAACUAUACUUAUUUUCAAAUACCAGUUAUUCAGCAAUAAGAUAUAUUAAAUCACUGUAUCAUAUAGAAUCUUAAUGUGGUAUAAAUUAGCAAAUGUAUUCAUAGCAUCAUUCAUUCAAAUAUUCCCAACCAGCAGUGGUUUGUUUAGAUGUUAGCUGUCUCAGAUUUUUUAAAUAGCAAUAUAUUAAGAAAAUUAUACAUGACAGGUUAAAAAACAUCAAUGUAAUUAUUUUACAUCUGAGAUACAGUCAGAAGGCUAGAAGGAACUUCUUUCACCACAGCUAUGCCUGAACCGCCAAGUGUUCUCCAUUUUUAUUUUCUAAUGGCAAGAUAUACUCAUAUUAUUUUGGCACAGUAUCUAAAAUGUAUUUUAAGGAUAAAAUUGUGCAGCUUAGUACAAUGUCAAUAUUAAUCUGCCUAUUCACAUUUUGACAUUUCAAGAAAUGUAAUUUUUAAAAAUUUCUUUUCUGUCCAGGAACCCGAGUUCAUCCCUUAUUUUUUCUUCUGAAAAUUAAGGAUUUGUUUUUAGCUAUCAUUUUUGAGUAAGCCUUUCAUUUGCUACCAUUCACUUAGAAUCUAAUGCUUGUGUUGGCACAUUGCUAUUUAAUAUUUUUUAAAUGCAUCACAUGAAGUAUGGUUUUCUUUUCCAUAUAUCAGAGUCAACCUGGGUAUACAUUAAAGGAUUAUUUGUUACAUUCUGAUGCCACCAAGGAAAUCAUGUUUUGUAUCUCAAUCUUUUAAUUUGAACUGGUUAGACUUCUGUAUUUCACCAUCAGAUUGAAUUCCCUUGCCUGAAGAUAAGUUUAAGAAGCUUUUUUUUUUUUGCAAAUUAUUUAUUGAAUCUUAUUUAAAGCAAAAU
This is an RNA transcript of Odobenus rosmarus divergens (Pacific walrus), 1753 nucleotides long. It is a transcript of the gene named UBX domain-containing protein 2A-like, with no coding region annotated. Lineage: Eukaryota; Metazoa; Chordata; Mammalia; Carnivora; Odobenidae. The transcript has a single exon. The record is from RefSeq and is a predicted model, not a curated record.